Molecule: ribosomal RNA, 600 nt
Filed under: Triticum aestivum (bread wheat)
Lineage: Eukaryota; Viridiplantae; Streptophyta; Magnoliopsida; Poales; Poaceae
Description: partial small subunit ribosomal RNA
Source: RNAcentral
GAUGAUACAAUACCCGCUCGGGGUCGUUCAAGGGGGCGUGGUGGUCAAAUGGUAACUUUCUAUCAACGCUUCAGAUAUGAAAUAUUCAAUGUUCUGCUUGACCAAAUAAUUACCGAGUUAAAUAACCGCUUUGCUGAAAGAUCUACUCAAUUGUUGAGACGCGUUGCUUGUCUUGAUCAAAGGAACUCAUUUGCUAAUUUUGAUGAAGAUAAACUUGUCCAACUUGCUCAGAUGUAUGCUGAUGACCUCUCCAUAUAUGAGAUUUCUUUUGUCCUUAGAAACCAACUUGAAAACUUCAUUGCUGAUGUGAGAGCUGAUCCAAGUUUUGUUAGUUGUAAUGACCUUGGUGGUCUUGCUUUGAAGAUGGUUCAAACUGAUAGACACAUAGUCUUUCCUUUGGUAUAUCGUCUUAUUGAGUUGGCAUUGAUUUUGCCUGUUGCAACCGCAUCAGUGGAAAGAGCUUUCUCAGCUAUGAGUAUUAUGAAGACUGAGUUGAGGAAUAAGAUGGGUGAUGAUUGGUUGAAUUAUUCCAUGGUGUGCAAUAUUGAGCGAGAAAUAUUUGCAAAGCUUGAUGAUGAUGCUAUUAUAUAUCGCUUUCAA